This 505-nucleotide long non-coding RNA is filed under the name Equus asinus (donkey). RNAcentral describes it as "lncRNA (ENSEASG00005029081.1)". The record is from RNAcentral. Lineage: Eukaryota; Metazoa; Chordata; Mammalia; Perissodactyla; Equidae.
UGGCAACUGGGCCAGCAUCUGACACCUGGCAGUUCUUGGGAAAUACCUGCACACGAAUGGAGGCAAGGCCUCUCUCCAGGGGAGGACGCUGAAGAGGUGAAAAGUGAGCCUCCUGCUCUCCCUUUGAGGCAAUUUGGCAUAGCCUGGGUUCUCAGAUCAGACGGAAGUGGGUUCAGUUCUCGGCUCGGAGCCACCUUAGACUGCUGGUUGAAAUACCUCUGGGCCUGUUCCUGCCUCUGGACAGUGGGAAGGUACUGAGACUACCUCUCAGGAUUGCACAGCACUGAGUGCUGGAGAUGCAAGAAUCCAUCCAACCAACGCAGGCAGAUGGCAACAAGUGCCAGGAGGAACACGCAUCAGGGCAAGGGGAGAGGCGUCCCUGGCCAUGGCUGGCGAAGGGUAGUGGCAAGUGUCUCAUUGAACAUGGAGCCGUGUGGGCAUUUGAGUCCCGGAAGGGGCCAGCCUGGGAGUCCUGAGUCUCUUGUGGUGACCAACAUAAAUAAAG